GGGUCUCUUAGCUCAGUGGUUAGAGCACCUGACUCUUAAUCAGGAGGUCGUUGGUUCGAAUCCCACAGGGCCCA
This 74-nucleotide transfer RNA is filed under the name Bacteroidales bacterium. RNAcentral's name for it is "tRNA-Lys". It matches the Rfam family "tRNA". Rfam says of the family: Transfer RNA (tRNA) molecules are approximately 80 nucleotides in length. Their secondary structure includes four short double-helical elements and three loops (D, anti-codon, and T loops). The record is from RNAcentral. Lineage: Bacteria; Pseudomonadati; Bacteroidota; Bacteroidia; Bacteroidales.